GACAGAGGGGGCAAGCGUUGCUCGGAAUCACUGGGCGUAAAGGGUGCGUAGGCGGCCAUGUAAGUGGGGUGUGAAAUCCCUCGGCUCAACCGAGGAACUGCGCUCCAUACUGCAUGGCUUGAGGGAGACAGGGGUAAGCGGAACUGAUGGUGGAGCGGUGAAAUGCGUUGAUAUCAUCAGGAACACCGGUGGCGAAAGCGGCUUACUGGGUCUCUUCUGACGCUGAGGUACGAAAGCUAGGGGAGCGAACGGG
Molecule: ribosomal RNA, 253 nt
Filed under: uncultured bacterium
Lineage: Bacteria
Description: partial 16S ribosomal RNA
Rfam family: Bacterial small subunit ribosomal RNA
Source: RNAcentral